UCGACCUACGGGGCGCAGCAGUGAGGAAUAUUGGUCAAUGGACGAGAGUCUGAACCAGCCAAGUAGCGUGAAGGCCGAAGGUGCCAAGCAUUGUAAACUUCUUUUGUCAAGGGACAAAAUCAGGCUCGAGAGCCUGACCGAGGGUACUUGAAGAAAAAGCAUCGGCUAACUCCGUGCCAGCAGCCGCGGUAAUACGGAGGAUGCGAGCGCUAUCCGGAUUUAUUGGGUUUAAAGGGUGCGUAGGCGGGCUGUUAAGUCAGCGGUAAAAGCCCGGGGCUCAACCCCGGCGAGCCGUUGAAACUGGG
RNAcentral lists this ribosomal RNA (305 nucleotides) under uncultured bacterium. Its description in RNAcentral is "bacterial SSU rRNA". It matches the Rfam family "Bacterial small subunit ribosomal RNA", at positions 334 to 637 of the family's 1533-position model. The record is from RNAcentral.